This 796-nucleotide ribosomal RNA is filed under the name uncultured Methanosarcinaceae archaeon. Its description in RNAcentral is "bacterial SSU rRNA". It matches the Rfam family "Archaeal small subunit ribosomal RNA", at positions 85 to 879 of the family's 1478-position model. The record is from RNAcentral. Lineage: Archaea; Methanobacteriati; Methanobacteriota; Methanomicrobia; Methanosarcinales; Methanosarcinaceae.
ACUGCUCAGUAACACGUGGAUAACCUGCCCUUGGGUCCGGCAUAACUCCGGGAAACUGGAGAUAAUUCCGGAUAACGCAUAUAUGCUGGAAUGCUUUAUGCGUCAAAUGGAUUCGUCUGCCCAAGGAUGGGUCUGCGGCCUAUCAGGUAGUAGUGGGUGUAAUGUACCUACUAGCCGACGACGGGUACGGGUUGUGAGAGCAAGAGCCCGGAGAUGGAUUCUGAGACAUGAAUCCAGGCCCUACGGGGCGCAGCAGGCGCGAAAACUUUACAAUGCGGGAAACCGUGAUAAGGGGACACCGAGUGCCAGCAUCAUAUGCUGGCUGUCCAGGUGUGUAAAAUACACCUGUUAGCAAGGGCCGGGCAAGACCGGUGCCAGCCGCCGCGGUAACACCGGCGGCCCGAGUGGUGAUCGUGAUUAUUGGGUCUAAAGGGUCCGUAGCCGGUUUGGUCAGUCCUCCGGGAAAUCUGAUAGCUCAACUAUUAGGCUUUCGGGGGAUACUGCCAGACUUGGAACCGGGAGAGGUAAGAGGUACUACAGGGGUAGGAGUGAAAUCUUGUAAUCCCUGUGGGACCACCUGUGGCGAAGGCGUCUUACCAGAACGGGUUCGACGGUGAGGGACGAAAGCUGGGGGCACGAACCGGAUUAGAUACCCGGGUAGUCCCAGCCGUAAACGAUGCUCGCUAGGUGUCAGACAUGGCGCGACCGUGUCUGGUGCCGCAGGGAAGCCGUGAAGCGAGCCACCUGGGAAGUACGGCCGCAAGGCUGAAACUUAAAGGAAUUGGCGGGGGAGCAC